This 75-nucleotide transfer RNA is filed under the name Victivallales bacterium. RNAcentral's name for it is "tRNA-Asn". It matches the Rfam family "tRNA". Rfam says of the family: Transfer RNA (tRNA) molecules are approximately 80 nucleotides in length. Their secondary structure includes four short double-helical elements and three loops (D, anti-codon, and T loops). Further hydrogen bonds mediate the characteristic L-shaped molecular structure. tRNAs have two regions of fundamental functional importance: the anti-codon, which is responsible for specific mRNA codon recognition, and the 3' end, to which the tRNAs corresponding amino acid is attached (by aminoacyl-tRNA synthetases). tRNAs cope with the degeneracy of the genetic code in two manners: having more than one tRNA (with a specific anti-codon) for a particular amino acid; and 'wobble' base-pairing, i.e. permitting non-standard base-pairing at the 3rd anti-codon position. Lineage: Bacteria; Pseudomonadati; Lentisphaerota; Lentisphaeria; Victivallales. RNAcentral also lists the same sequence under 2 other names. The record is from RNAcentral.
UCCGGCAUAGCUCAGCGGUAGAGUAGGUGGCUGUUAACCACUUGGUCGCUGGUUCGAGCCCAGCUGCCGGAGCCA